This 844-nucleotide ribosomal RNA is filed under the name uncultured bacterium. RNAcentral describes it as "bacterial SSU rRNA". It matches the Rfam family "Bacterial small subunit ribosomal RNA", at positions 60 to 896 of the family's 1533-position model. The record is from RNAcentral.
AGUCGAACGGGAUCCAAUUUUUAGCUUGCUAAAGAUUGGUGAGAGUGGCGCACGGGUGCGUAACGCGUGAGCAACCUACCCAUAUCAGGGGGAUAGCCCGAAGAAAUUCGGAUUAACACCGCAUAAGACUACGAGAUGGCAUCAUCAAGUAGUUAAAUAUUUAUAGGAUAUGGAUGGGCUCGCGUGACAUUAGCUAGUUGGUGAGGUAACGGCUCACCAAGGCGACGAUGUCUAGGGGCUCUGAGAGGAGAAUCCCCCACACUGGUACUGAGACACGGACCAGACUCCUACGGGAGGCAGCAGUAAGGAAUAUUGGUCAAUGGACGGAAGUCUGAACCAGCCAUGCCGCGUGCAGGAUGACUGCCCUAUGGGUUGUAAACUGCUUUUGUCGAGGAAUAAACCUAUCUACGUGUAGAUAGCUGAAUGUACUCGAAGAAUAAGGAUCGGCUAACUCCGUGCCAGCAGCCGCGGUAAUACGGAGGAUCCGAGCGUUAUCCGGAUUUAUUGGGUUUAAAGGGUGCGUAGGCGGCACUUUAAGUCAGGGGUGAAAGACGGCAGCUUAACUGUCGCAGUGCCUUUGAUACUGAAGUGCUUGAAUGCGGUUGAAGACGGCGGAAUGAGACAAGUAGCGGUGAAAUGCAUAGAUAUGUCUCAGAACACCGAUUGCGAAGGCAGCUGUCUAAGCCGUUAUUGACGCUGAUGCACGAAAGCGUGGGGAUCGAACAGGAUUAGAUACCCUGGUAGUCCACGCCCUAAACGAUGAUAACUCGAUGUUUGCGAUAUACCGUAAGCGUCCAAGCGAAAGCGUUAAGUUAUCCACCUGGGGAGUACGCCCGCAAGGGUG